GCUCCUUGUUCCGGUCUGCCGCGGGGGCGCUCAACAUCGCGUCCACGGACGAAGACACGCGGCUGCACGGGCCGAACAGUUUCCGGAACCUCUCCAGGUCAGAAACAUCUGGAAGAGGGCUGAAACGGCAGGAAGGGGUGAAGGGAUGAUGAAGGAUGUAGGAAGGAUGUAAUGCUCUGCAGCGGCAUUCUGGCAAGCUUAUGGAGCACCUUCCUGCAAGGCUGCGUCCUGGAAUACUACUUCCUGCAAGGCUACUGAAACCUUAACUUUAAUAUCCAAUGAAACCUUAGACUGAAAACACCA
Non-coding RNA from Oryzias latipes (Japanese medaka), 303 nucleotides. The record is from RefSeq and is a predicted model, not a curated record. NCBI's taxonomy places the organism in Eukaryota, Metazoa, Chordata, Actinopteri, Beloniformes, Adrianichthyidae.